RNAcentral lists this ribosomal RNA (467 nucleotides) under uncultured bacterium. RNAcentral's name for it is "partial 16S ribosomal RNA". It matches the Rfam family "Bacterial small subunit ribosomal RNA", at positions 28 to 506 of the family's 1533-position model. The record is from RNAcentral.
GACGAACGCUGGCGGCGUGUUUAACACAUGCAAGUCGAACGGAAAGGCCCUGCUUUUGUGGGGUGCUCGAGUGGCGAACGGGUGAGUAACACGUGAGUAACCUGCCCUUGACUUUGGGAUAACUUCAGGAAACUGGGGCUAAUACCGGAUAGGAGCUCCUGCUGCAUGGUGGGGGUUGGAAAGUUUCGGCGGUUGGGGAUGGACUCGCGGCUUAUCAGCUUGUUGGUGGGGUAGUGGCUUACCAAGGCUUUGACGGGUAGCCGGCCUGAGAGGGUGACCGGCCACAUUGGGACUGAGAUACGGCCCAGACUCCUACGGGAGGCAGCAGUGGGGAAUAUUGCACAAUGGGCGGAAGCCUGAUGCAGCAACGCCGCGUGCGGGAUGACGGCCUUCGGGUUGUAAACCGCUUUCGCCUGUGACGAAGCGUGAGUGACGGUAAUGGGUAAAGAAGCACCGGCGAACUACGU